Molecule: unclassified non-coding RNA, 2828 nt
Filed under: Hevea brasiliensis (rubber tree)
Lineage: Eukaryota; Viridiplantae; Streptophyta; Magnoliopsida; Malpighiales; Euphorbiaceae
Source: RNAcentral
CCACGAUGAAUUCAACUACACCACCACAUAAGCAAUUUGAAGGAUAAGUCUCCAUUAUUUGAGUUGUACAGAGAAGAAAUUAAUCUACCCAAUUAAAAUAGAACAAAAAAACUUGAUAGCAAGUGGAGCAAUAAAUAGACAAAGCAAGCGGGUAAUUAAUUAAUCAUAUGAGUUAAGUAUCUGAUACGUGCCAAAAUGAGUUACACAUAUCUAAUAGAAAUCCUUGCUUUAGCUAAUUCUAGUAGUGGAAGCUAAUAUAAUAAUGUGCAGAUGUUCUAUAAAGUGCCAAAAUAAAUUCUAUAAAUGCAUUGAAAAGAGUGAAAAGAUGGGCAUGUUUUUUUAUAUUUGUUGUUUUUAUUCAAGGAAAGAGAAUGACAGUGGAGGGAGCAGAUCAGGCCAGGAGGGUCUUGCCCUUGGGGUGUCACGAUAGUAAUGUUUGUUGUGUUUUUCAAGUUCCAAACUCUGAAAUGCUCUGCAAGGCUGGCUUCCAUUGCCCCCCACCACCAUGAUGCCUUGCCACUCCUCCUCUGCUGCUGCUGCUGCUUGUACUGCCACCAUUGCUUCCCAGUCGGUGGACCUCCUGCUCCACCUGCAAAAGAGAGGGGAAAAAAAAAAAAAGAAACACAUCAGACACACCACCAUGAGAUAAUGACAGUUCAUAUUUAUGCAACUCAUUUAUCUACAACUUGGUCUCUAAGCAAAGAUUUCAUUAUUAGUUUCUUUCUGUUCUUUCUUUAGAACUUCAUUAUUUUUUACUCCGACACAAUGUAUGGAUAACUUGGGUACACUUUCCUUCAGCAUUACACAACACCCCCUUUUCUUUGUCACAACUCAUAUCACAAUAGUGAAAAUAAAAACCCCACUAAGAGGAGACGAGACCAAUUAUUCAAUGCUCUUGAAACAAAUACUCCCUUAUUCACAUGUGCAUGAGUCUCUCUUUCUUUUUUCGAGGAGAUAAUACGUUAGACAUGAUUGACUUUACAAUGUGAAUAUCGAGUUACGUUUAGACACCUUAAUUUUUCUGUUCCUUUCAGUGUAAAUGCAGUCAGCGACCAAAGGAAAAUAAUUGAAUAUAUCCAUACUGAUAUUGUCUAAUUAUGAAUUGGACAAAUAAAGACAAGACCUUAUGACCAGCCAAUGGCUGUAUUUGGCCAUGUGUGUGCAAUUAUUUUGAUAAAUUAACUUGGUAUGGAAGCUCUUAUACAACCAGCUGUAAAGUGGGUGCAGAAAGAAGAUGAUUAGAAAUCACUAAAAGAUGAUUACAGAUCCACUAAAGAUGAUAUUGUAUUCAAAAUGAGUCAGUCAUACAAAAGUAAUAAAGAAUAAGAUUUCACUCAUUUGCCUCAACAAGGACAAAGAACCGUCCUAAAUUAAGGUUGCAGAUUCCUCAAUAGUAAAAUUUGAGCAGCAUUUAUAUAUAAAUCUACCAUCAUUAUAAAUGAUAUGUGCCUCGAGAUCUGCAGUUUAAAGAAAGUAUCAGAUUCUUCUCAGCCUGAUCAGAAGCUGAUAUAGUUUGAAUUCACCCAUCAAGAAAGGGAAAAAAAAAUUGAAGAUUAGUCUUUGUAAGUAAAACGUUUUCUAUGUGACCAUUUUUAUUAUUAUUAUCCUUUUUUUAAUUGAAAAAGAUGCUUUUAUCAGCUGAAGUGACAAAAAUAAAAUGCAGAUAACCCUGCUCUUCGUCUCUGCAAAGAAUCAAAAAGACCCGAGCCUUAUGCUAAUCUACACCAUUCUUGGAAUCUGAGAUACUCUAAAAAUCGACAGGCCAAAGUACCCAGAUAAUUUUUUUAAUGAUUAUUUAUUUCAAUAAUCAAAGUUAGAGUUGAAAAAGGUUCGAGUUCAGGUUCUGUUACCUUAACAGAGCUGCAGUUCUUAGAUUUAGAACUGGGGUUCGGAUUCGGAUUUGGGUUUGGAUUCAAACUUAUCCCACCAGAGUCCAUCCUCUUCAUUUCUGCUGCAACUCCAAGCACUUGUCUAUCUUUCAACAGCUUUCCUAGUUUAACACACUUCUUUGAAGAAAACUCUUUCAACACAUCUUCAAAACUGAUGAGUCGAUAGACCUGCCCAAUAAGCAGAGUAUCAUCAGGUCGAAGAAGCUUGAGCUGCUUCACUGACAACCCAUUUUCUGUCCUCGUCGUUGGAGAUGUAACGACGAGAGCCACAUAGUGUCCGGGAUUCGAAUUCAUGAUCUCAUGAGCGCUAACAGACCAGUAAAUCCUCUCGAUCUUGUUUCCCGGAUGUUGAAUCACCACGGUUGCUGCUUCUGCAGCUUGACAAUUACCCAUUUCGCAAAACCACAAGAAACACGGAACUACUUUUUUUGGGAGUGGAAAUUUAUAGGUAGUAAACUUGUAUAACUAAGCUAGCUUUUGAAUUAUGGCAGAGAAUUUGAAAAUGCUGACGCUUGUUCACGUUCACGAAGCACGGCAAGAAUCCAGGGAUGUGACUAUGAGAUUGUCCGAGAAUCAAGGAAAAAAAAAAAAGAAAGAAAAACCAAGAACAGCAAGUCAGCAGAAUUUCUCUCACUUCACCAAGCAUAACUGAAAAGAGAAUAGUGAUCUUGAUGUGCCUGCCAUAUUCAGUAUGAGAACAUAAUUAUGGGUACUGUGAGAAUAGUUUUUACUUAAUGGAGUUGGAGGUGAAAGAAAGCAUUAAUGAAGGUGGUGGUGGUUUGGAGAAUUGAAGGUGGAGGAAGGUGGGAGGUGCUUAUAACAUAGAGUGAGCUAGUAUAGGAAGCGUAAAUGGCAGGUAGAUAGUGUAGGAAUCUUUAAUAGUUUUCUCUCAGAAUGUAUGGAGACGUGUUAAAUCUACAAAACCACCUGAGUUGCUUC